RNAcentral lists this ribosomal RNA (456 nucleotides) under Dendropsophus aff. minutus. Its description in RNAcentral is "partial 16S ribosomal RNA". It matches the Rfam family "Bacterial large subunit ribosomal RNA", at positions 1819 to 2484 of the family's 2925-position model. Lineage: Eukaryota; Metazoa; Chordata; Amphibia; Anura; Hylidae. The record is from RNAcentral.
CGCCUCUUGAAACUACAUAAGAGGUCCAGCCUGCCCAGUGACUAAGUUCAACGGCCGCGGUAUCCUAACCGUGCGAAGGUAGCGUAAUCACUUGUUCUUUAAAUGAGGACUAGUAUGAAUGGCACCACGAGGGUUAUGCUGUCUCCUUUUUCUAAUCAAUGAAACUGAUCUCCCCGUGAAGAAGCGGGGAUAUAUUUAUAAGACGAGAAGACCCUAUGGAGCUUUAAAUCAUGUAACACUGGCUUUCACAUUAAAAUAUUCCAGAAUUUUCAUAAUUAUUCUAGCCACUAUGAUUACUAGUUUUAGGUUGGGGUGACCACGGAGCAAAAAUUAACCUCCAUGUUGAACGGAGCUACUCCUGAGCCAAAAGCCACGACUUUAAGCACUAAUAAAUUAACAUUAAUUGACCCAAUAUUUUUGAUCAACGAACCAAGUUACCCUAGGGAUAACAGCGCA